AGUGAACGCUGGCGGUAGGCCUAACACAUGCAAGUCUAACGGCAGCACAGUAAGAGCUUGCUCUUACGGGUGGCGAGUGGCGGACGGGUGAGGAAUACAUCGGAAUCUACUUUUUCGUGGGGGAUAACGUAGGGAAACUUACGCUAAUACCGCAUACGACCUACGGGUGAAAGCAGGGGAUCUUCGGACCUUGCGCGAUUGAAUGAGCCGAUGUCGGAUUAGCUAGUUGGCGGGGUAAAGGCCCACCAAGGCGACGAUCCGUAGCUGGUCUGAGAGGAUGAUCAGCCACACUGGAACUGAGACACGGUCCAGACUCCUACGGGGGGCAGCAGUGGGGAAUAUUGGACAAUGGGCGCAAGCCUGAUCCAGCCAUACCGCGUGGGUGAAGAAGGCCUUCGGGUUGUAAAGCCCUUUUGUUGGGAAAGAAAAGCAGCAGGUUAAUACCCCGCUGUUCUGACGGUACCCAAAGAAUAAGCACCGGCUAACUUCGUG
RNAcentral lists this ribosomal RNA (492 nucleotides) under uncultured bacterium. RNAcentral describes it as "partial 16S ribosomal RNA". It matches the Rfam family "Bacterial small subunit ribosomal RNA", at positions 29 to 507 of the family's 1533-position model. The record is from RNAcentral.